CAUGUCUUUAUGAUUAUAAUUUAAAGUCUAAUCUGCACAAUGAAAAUUUUAAUUGCCGCAGUAUAUUGACUGUGCAAAGGUAGCAUAAUAAUUAGCUUUUUGAUUAGGAGCUGGUAUGAAUGAUUGGACGAGAAAAUUUCUGUUUCUUAUUAAAUAAUUUUUUAAUUUUAUUUUUAAGUUAAAAAGCUUAAAUGAUUAUAAAAGACGAGAAGACCCUAUAGAGUUUAAUAUUUUUUGAUAAUUUUAUAUUAGAAUAAAUUUUUAUUAUUAAGUAUUUAAUUGGGGUGAUAGGAAGAUUUAAAAAAUUCUUUGUAUUUUAAUUGAUGAUUAUUAAAUUUUUUAUCUAAUUGUUUUAAAUAAAAAAUUAAUUACCUUAGGGAUAACAGCGUAAUUUUUCUUUAAAGCUCAUAUUAAAAGAAAAUUUUGCGACCUCGAUGUUGGAUUAAAAUUAAUUUUUGGUGCAGUAACUUAAAAAUUGGGUCUGUUCGACCUUUGAAAUUUUACAUGAUCUGAGUUUAAACCGGUGUAAGCCAGGUUGGAUUCUAUCUUUAGAUUAAUUAUAUAUUUUAGUACGAAAGGACCUGAUAUAUAUUAUAUAUUAA
This 602-nucleotide ribosomal RNA is filed under the name Plateros sp. UPOL TH0045. Its description in RNAcentral is "partial 16S ribosomal RNA". The stretch from base 379 to 537 matches the Rfam family "Bacterial large subunit ribosomal RNA", at positions 2473 to 2632 of the family's 2925-position model. The record is from RNAcentral. Lineage: Eukaryota; Metazoa; Arthropoda; Insecta; Coleoptera; Lycidae.